Long non-coding RNA from Etheostoma cragini (Arkansas darter), 494 nucleotides. RefSeq lists it as uncharacterized. The record is from RefSeq and is a predicted model, not a curated record. The transcript is spliced from 4 exons. Lineage: Eukaryota; Metazoa; Chordata; Actinopteri; Perciformes; Percidae.
CCUUCACAACUAAAAUCCAGAAGACCAUCACUCUGUCAGACACACAUGAUGGACUCACCAUCAGCUGUUCUGUCACAUAUCCUGUGAAUGAAGGAAGAGGAGUCAAGACAGCAGAGGAGACAAAGACUCUCAGUGUCUCAUAUGAUCCAGAGUUUGGGGUUGAUGUCUACGUUACAGUGAAGAUCCUGGGAAUCAUCACACUCUACAGUACACUCAUCAUCUUUGAGUGCUGGUUGAGAUCACGGUGCUGCAACAAACCAGUGAAGGACGCAGGAGAAGAAGACUACGUCAACAAAGUGAUUGAGAUUCAAGCAACAUGUAGAAGAAGAAGACAUGAUCACCAUGAAUGGAAUAUUUCUCUCAUUCUUAUUCCUCCCAUUCUUAAAUAUUAAAUGGCUUUACUUUGCUGAAAAUUGGUUCAAUGAACAAAGGACGGAGUGCAAAGAGGACAGAAGAUGACAUGAAUAUAAUGUACUGUAGCUUCAUCAUUAGUU